UACGUAGGGAGCAAGCGUUGUCCGGAAUCAUUGGGCGUAAAGCGCGCGUAGGUGGCCCCAUAAGUCCGCUGUGAAAGUCAAAGGCUCAACCUUUGAAAGCCGGUGGAUACUGUGGGACUAGAGUACGGAAGAGGCGAGUGGAAUUCCUGGUGUAGCGGUGGAAUGCGCAGAUAUCAGGAGGAACACCAAUAGCGAAGGCAGCUCGCUGGGACGUUACUGACACUGAGGCGCGAAAGCGUGGGGGAGCGAACAGG
RNAcentral lists this ribosomal RNA (254 nucleotides) under uncultured bacterium. RNAcentral's name for it is "partial 16S ribosomal RNA". It matches the Rfam family "Bacterial small subunit ribosomal RNA", at positions 524 to 776 of the family's 1533-position model. The record is from RNAcentral.